Molecule: long non-coding RNA, 470 nt
Organism: Strongylocentrotus purpuratus (purple sea urchin)
Lineage: Eukaryota; Metazoa; Echinodermata; Echinoidea; Camarodonta; Strongylocentrotidae
Exons: 3
Source: RefSeq, a predicted model, not a curated record
AUAAUCAGAAUCCUGUGAUCACAUGCCCAGCUGACUUCAACUCCGAUACACUCACUGUAUCAUUCCUGGUGGAUGUCACAGACAACGUUGAUCCUGCACCAGCGUUGACCUACGAUCCUCUAGGGCCAGGUUCUACCUUCCCUCUGGGUCCAACGACAGUCACUGUCACAGCCACAGACAGUUCCUCGAACCAUGACUCAUGCACAUUUACUGUUACGGUGACAGAUAAUCAGAAUCCUGUGAUCACAUGCCCAGCUGACUUCACCUCCGAUACACUCACUGUAUCAUUCCUGGUAUAUGUCACAGACAAUGCUGACCCUGCACCAGCGUUGACCUACGAUCCUCUAGGGCCAGGUUCUACCUUCCCUCAUGGUCCAACGACAGUCACUGUCACAGCCACAGACAGUUCCUCGAACCAUGACUCAUGCACAUUUACUGUUAAGGUGACAGUGCCAUGUGGACAUCCAGUG